CUCUCAUUUUCUCUUGCUGCCGCGAUGUACGAAGUUCCUUUUGCCUGCCGCGAUGAUUUUGAGGCCUCCCCAGCCAUGUGAAACUACAUGGAUUCUCACUAUGACACCCAGGCUGGAGUGCAGUGGCACAAUCAUAGCUGACUACAGCCUCGAAUUUCUGGGCUCAAGCAAGGCUUUCAUCUCAACCUCCCCAGGAGCUGGGAUUACAGAUGGUGUCAGAAGCGGGGUUCAAAGUAGAGCUUUAAUGACCCCCAGAAGUGCUGAGUGAACAAGCAAGGUACCUGCAAGGACCCACUUGUGUCCUUUGAUCUCUCAGAGCAGUGGAAUUUUCAGCCUGCCAGCCUGCCCUACAGAAUUCAGACUUGUCAGCCUCCACAAUCAGGGAAGAAUGAAGAGGCUCUUUUAUAUUACCCUUACCAUUUAUAAGCAGGUCGGCAGCAGAAUGCAAACUGUUACUUUAAUUUUAUGUAAAUACUAGUUAUUUGUAUAUGAAAUAAUUUGUUACAAUAUCUAAUUUGCUUUACUGCCAGUGGCCCAAACUAAAUUAACAUUUUGAUUUAAAAAUUAUUCAAAUAUUGCAAUCUCAAAAUAAAGUACUUUGAUACUAAUUAUUUCUACCAAUAUCUAAAAUUACUAUAAAUUAUCUUAUCCUAUUAUGAUUUAUAUGUUUCCUGGAAUUUUAUUUACUUUUUGAAAACACUAUCUUUUCCCCUGUGGAAUUAUAAAUGGGAAUAUCCUUGGGCAAUUUAACAGUUAUAAAAAUUUUUUUAACUAUACAUAGUAAAGGCAAAUAAUCUUUAAACAGCUAAACCUAUAUUGACACCUCAAAAGUUUGCAUUUAAUUACUUCUUUUACACUAGCAGUUUUAUCUAUGCCAAUAAGUACUACUGUAAAAAAAUGGCAAUGAGCUCUUACUAUGGAAGAUCGUGAGGACAUAAACCAUUUCUGUCUCUCUCAUUGUUUUGUUUUUUAAUUGAGAUAUAGUCAAGAGUUAUUUUGAGGUUACAGAAGGCAAUUGAGAUAUUUUUUGGAUCUUUAGUUAUUUUUAGUUCCACCAAGUGAGUAAAGCAUCAGUCUUUUGGCAUUAAAAGAAUUAGAGUUCUGUGGAAAGAGAAUGUGUCCUUACCAUCAGUAGAAUUAAUUACAAGGAAUAACAAAGAGAAUCAGUGUCAGAAUUUGGGCUCCGUCUAUUAAUAGUCUUGAAAUACAUUUUAAACAACUGAUUUUCCUCUUUCUGAAUUUUUGCACAAUGAGAUUUUUUUGAGGCCAAAAUCCGCUGGCUUUCACAUUUAUUUCAUUGCUACUUGACUGAACUAGCUGAAAUUUUAAGUGUGUUUCUUGUUAAAGGGAAACUUAAGUCAGGCACAUUUGAGCAGAUUUAUUUUAAAAAGGAUAUUUUCACCUCUUCCUAAAGCAAUAUUCCAAGCUCAGUAACUGACAUUCAACAGAUGACUAAUGAAGGUCUUAUAGUAGAAAUUAGCCUCUUCCCUACCUCCUGGAUUCAGUUACCCUACUGAGACUCUCUCAAUCUGCCCUUUCCCCUCAACUGGCUCCCUGGAGAAAGCUGGAAGCAGGUGCUAGGAAUCUUGUCAUUAAUUCAGAUCAACAAUGUCAGUUAAUUAAGUGGAAGUUCUUUUACCCAGACUCUAAAGGCAAAGAUGACUAAGAAUCCAAAAUGAUUAAAAUAAAAAAUAGUUUUCUUUCCACCUCUGAAGUCAAUGUCCUUCUUCGUAACCAUAUUCAUUACAUUUUCUUAGGUUUAACUCUUUAAACAUAAAUAAGUAUGGCCAAAUAUAUUUGAUGAGAUACUUUAAAUCUAUACAUAGAUUUUACAUAUAUAAUCUGUAUUCUUAUAUGUAGAAUUUCAUGAAAACAGUGCUUUCCAACACAAAUUCCCCACAUCAUUUCUUCCACAGGAUGUGACUAGGUGGAUCUUUGGAGGAAAAAGAUAUUGUAGAGCAAAAUAAUGUCAGAAAUACUGGGUUUAUUAAGGAUGUCAUUGUUGCAGACCUUUACAAAGCCUAUAAUAUGCCAUAUAAUGUGUAUUACAGUAUAUCAUAGGAGAUGGAUACAUUGCAUGGUGUUUCAUCUAUAUAUGAUAUACAUAUAACAAUAGUAUUAUUUAAACAUAGACUAUUUUUUAAAUUUUUAAGCAUUUUUCAGCAACAGUCUUUAUAAGACAAGAAAAUUCUGAAAUGUCCUUUUUCAGAAGGUUUUUAUGCAACAUUUUUGCCCAAUACAUAUUGUUAACUCUAUUUCUUUCUUUUUAAUUUUUUUUCUUGAUUAUUAUUCUGUGAAUGCCACAUUAAAAGGCUGGAGAGGUUUCAAUUUCCACAUUUCCCUUGGUGCUAAGACAAACUCUUUUCUGAUAUGUGUGCUUGUCAAGGCUGAACUGUCCACUUUAUUUUCCAAUCUGUUUUCAAGUUUUUAUCAAUUUGACAUCAAAGCAAAAAUAAUAAAAGGAAAAAUUUCCCGUAGCAUUUAAUUGAAUACUAUGAAAUUCCUUUGAAGAGUAACCUGGGGCUUAUGUGCAAAAUAAAAAUAAGCAUCCCUUCCUCCAAACACUACUUCCAUCUGUUGAAAUGCAGUGAUGUGCUGAAACAUGAAACCUCACUGCUGUCUUCUGGAAAAGUGUCCUGUGAAGUGAAUCAUGCAAAGUGAAUGGUGCCCCUAGGGUUGUGCAGUGCACAACCUGCAAUGCUAUGGAAUGCUAUGGAACAAAAUUAAAAGCAGUGUGAAGUGUCCACAGGAUUCUAACAAAGGUUUUACUUAAGCUCACAGUCUCCUCUGUUGUGAGAGAGUACUGCACACACACAGAAAUCCAAAGUCUGAUUGUCCAAAUUUGUCAUUUUUAGCUUUUACUUUAUAUUUACUCUUAACCAGUCCUUUCACUUUGAGCCCCAUAUUAUCAUCUAUACCAUUUAGAAUACAAACCUUUUAUUUGUUGGUUAGUGCUGUCUGAUUUUAUUCUACAAACUCAUUCUACAAACUCUACUCUACAGACUCAUUCCCUGGAGUCCAGUAAAAGGGAGCUUAUUGUUUUCCUUGAUGAACCCUUUCAGUUUAGAGCUUGAGGCUCAUGAUAAUCACAUGCCAACGGACAAUUUACCUAUGAAAAAUUACACUUUAUAGCACUUUUUAAAAAAGAUAUGUCUAUUCGAUUUUGAGCCUGUCACAGUAUUAAAAACAUAUUUUGCAAUGCACUCCAUGUCAUCAGUCAGAAUUCAUCUGAUCAAAUUAACACAGGCUUAGAAAGUUCUUACUAUCAUACCUUUAGACCACGUGCUGCUGACCUAGUCUAAAUUACAGGUACAGAAUGUUUUCAGAGUUGCAUGGUAUAGCUAUGUUUUGAGGGGUGGAUGGAAAGAAUUCCCAUGGUAAUUUCCAUUGUGUGUUUUAACUUGAGCUGUGUACUCCUAAAAUGUUACCAUUUGCUUCUCUGAGUUACUUCAUCUCUGUGCCCCGCUUUCCAUUAUAGUAUUAGUAAGAUUCUAAUAUGAUUGUUUGUUUUCAUCUCUUUCUUUCUCCACUCUCCAUGAUCUGAACUUUUAAAAGUAAGCCCUUUUAUUUUUCUUUGUACCUUCACAG
This 3588-nucleotide long non-coding RNA is filed under the name Homo sapiens (human). RNAcentral's name for it is "HSALNT0339282". Lineage: Eukaryota; Metazoa; Chordata; Mammalia; Primates; Hominidae. The record is from RNAcentral.